GCGGGGGCCGGCCCUGGCCGCUCCGCCUAUUGGGACUGGGGGGCCUGGGCCAGCCGUCGGCGCGGUGAUAAUGGGGCGCUGCCGUCUGGAGCCCCACGGCCACUGAAACCGCAGUGACACGACAUCGGUGGAAGGGACAGAGCAUUUCCAGGAGCAUCUACGCAGUCCAUGGCACCACGGGACUGGGUUGUAGGCACAGUUGGAAGGCGGCUUGGCAGCUUAAAACCCGGUGCCGUGCACCCGCUGGUCCAGUGCGGGUUUUAUAAAUGACGGAAACACAGCGGUAGUGAGCAAGCAGCGAACGGCUCCCAGAGCUCUGACGCCUCGGGGUAUCCCCGAUGCAGGGGCCGAACCGCUGUCUGAGGAGGGGCACCUGCCCCAGCCCAGCCAGGAGCCGGGGUUCGUUUCACCCCUGUUCGCACACACGCGCCAGCCCUACAUCUCCCUUACACCAGCGUCGAGGUGCUUCCGAGCCCAACUCACCGCUCCCCGAGCAGCAAGGCCCCACAUCGCUUCCCCGAAAGCUCCCGGCGCUUCCCGACCCCCCCGUGGCCCCGAGAGAGCCGCGCUUCUAUUUCGGGGCCCUCACGGAGCGCGCCGUUAUCAGAGCCGACCACAAAUGCCACAUGAAAAGCAGCAAACAUCCGGAGGGUUUCCUGCGAACCGAGCCUUUCUCAAGGCAGAGGCCUUUUUUUUUUUUUUUCUUUUUAACGCGUACUUAA
RNAcentral lists this long non-coding RNA (722 nucleotides) under Numida meleagris (helmeted guineafowl). Its description in RNAcentral is "lncRNA (ENSNMEG00000013702.1)". The record is from RNAcentral. Lineage: Eukaryota; Metazoa; Chordata; Aves; Galliformes; Numididae.